RNAcentral lists this transfer RNA (73 nucleotides) under Neotoma lepida (desert woodrat). It matches the Rfam family "tRNA". From Rfam's summary of the family: Transfer RNA (tRNA) molecules are approximately 80 nucleotides in length. Their secondary structure includes four short double-helical elements and three loops (D, anti-codon, and T loops). The record is from Rfam by way of RNAcentral. Lineage: Eukaryota; Metazoa; Chordata; Mammalia; Rodentia; Cricetidae.
GGAGAUGUAGUUCAGUUGGUAGAGUAUUUGCCUAGCAUGCACAAAGCCCUGGGAUCAAUCCCCAGCUUCUCAU